Molecule: long non-coding RNA, 1292 nt
Organism: Epinephelus moara (kelp grouper)
Lineage: Eukaryota; Metazoa; Chordata; Actinopteri; Perciformes; Serranidae
Exons: 3
Source: RefSeq, a predicted model, not a curated record
AACAUUUCAUUUUCACCUCAAAUGCUACUUAAAACCUGGUUUCCAUCUUUCCCACGGGAGCCUGAAGGCAGCGCAGGCAGCCAUUGGUCAGCCCUGGCUGUCAAUCACAGCUCCAUCUCCCUCCCACGUGGUGACGUUUCCGUACCAAAGUAACCAGGCCAGUCCAUUACGCACACAAAAGACACAACAAAAGCCCGUGUUGGGAAAAAUGAGAUCCGUCAGCACCCAAAGGACACAACAAUAAGUUCCCAUCUGGCAGCGUCACACAUGGACCAGAGCCUGGGACGACGACAAUCAUUUAUUUAACUUAAAAAAGACAACAAACUGAAAAACAUCUUUCUCUCUUCAGCAGGCAGUUUUCCACCAAGCUGCGUUUUGCUCAGCUCUGAUCCAGGUGGUUUGAUUUUCUCCUGUGGUGUCUGUGUGGAGCGUGCCACACACCCACUCCACAACAACGACGGCUUUUGCUUGCAUCUUCCAGUGUUUCUUCUGUCAGCAAGUCCAGCAGAGCUGCAACUCUUCCAGUGCCAGCCCUGACACCAGCGAGGAGCCCUGCCCCACUGACAUGGUGAAGAUGACCAAGUCAAAGACCUUCCAGGCUUACCUGCCGAGCUGCCAUCGCACCUACAGCUGCAUCCACUGCCGGGCACACCUGGCCAACCACGACGAGCUCAUCUCAAAGUCAUUUCAAGGCAGUCAAGGAAGAGCCUACCUGUUUAAUUCAGUGUAAGUAUGAGACCCACACCUACAGUUUAUUUCUCCAGAAUGGAAAACUCUGCUUUGUUGCUCUUUCUGUGCAUUUAUUCAGGUUCAGCCAUUGUUAUUUACAAGUGAUCCGGGGCUUGUAAAUAAAAGUUACGUGGACUCACAAGCAGCUACUUUGUUGGACGGAGUCAUAAACCGUGUUCACACUGGGUGUGCUUGUUUGAGUUUAAACCAGAGAUCAGAAGUCCCUCCUUUACCUUCACCUACUGCUUUGCGUUCACCCUUGUUUGCUGUUGUUCUCUGUGCAGCUGUUUACUGUUGCUGACACAGUGACUGCACACCUAUGUCAAAAUUCUGUUUUGAUGCACAUGCACAAAAUUUUAACAAUGUACAGGCAGGUGGAGCCGCAGGUAUCUUUACUAGCCACACAAAAAUGAAACCAAGGGAUACACUUGUAAAAUUCACAUCUAUCACUACAGAUUUUACUCCCAAUUAUCAUGUUUAAGUAUCUGUUUCAACAAACUACACUACAUUGGAUUAACGCUACACAAUCUUUGUCCAAAAUCCCCAUAUAUACACCCAUGUAG